Odocoileus virginianus texanus is the source of this 532-nucleotide non-coding RNA. NCBI's taxonomy places the organism in Eukaryota, Metazoa, Chordata, Mammalia, Artiodactyla, Cervidae. The record is from RefSeq and is a predicted model, not a curated record.
UUAUCAAACUGAUGCGCAAUCCUGGCCAGUGUACAAUUCUCUGGGACCAGCCAUCCCUAACCAACCUUAAGUAUUAUCAGUAUGGCCGGUUGAGACAUAGACAUGGAAAAGGGAAAUUGAUCUGCCAUAGUAUAGUGAGCAAAAAACAAACAGUGCUUACAAAGGUUUUACAGCUCUUUAAAACAUUGCACAGGACCAGACAACAGGUUUUUAAAAAUGAUGCUAGAGCAUUAGAAGCAGCCCGAAUAAAGAUAAAUGAAGAAUUCAAAUGUAAUAAAACUGAAACUUCUGCUAAGAAAAUAGAAGAGGUAAUUAACUUAUCGUGUAUUGUGAUGAAGUCUUGGCACUGAAAGGAAUCCUAGGUGACCUCUCGACCAGCAGUUCUCAGAUUUUUUGGUCUCAAGACCACUUUACCUUCUAAAAAACUGAAGACUCCAAAAGGUGUUGCAUCUAAUAAAAAUAGGUUCUGAUGUUGAAUUGAUACUCAGAACAUCUGUUAUACAAGGUAUUCACACAGACCACAAUACGCUGA